UACGGAGGGUGCAAGCGUUAUCCGGAUUUACUGGGUUUAAAGGGAGCGCAGGCGGAUUGGUAAGUCAGUGGUGAAAUACCCGUGCUUAACAUGGGAACUGCCAUUGAUACUAUCAGUCUUGAAUGUUGUUGAGGUUUGCGGAAUGGGUCAUGUAGCGGUGAAAUGCAUAGAUAUGACCCGGAACACCUAUUGCGAAGGCAGCAGGCUAAACAAAUAUUGACGCUGAGGCUCGAAAGCGUGGGGAU
RNAcentral lists this ribosomal RNA (245 nucleotides) under uncultured Niabella sp. RNAcentral describes it as "partial 16S ribosomal RNA". It matches the Rfam family "Bacterial small subunit ribosomal RNA", at positions 524 to 768 of the family's 1533-position model. The record is from RNAcentral. Lineage: Bacteria; Pseudomonadati; Bacteroidota; Chitinophagia; Chitinophagales; Chitinophagaceae.